AAUCCGAGAAGGGCACGAUAGUAAAAUAACAUACCUAUCUUCUUCUUCUUUCAUUUUUUUUGCAGUGUUCAUGUUCUCUCUUUGAAACAGUUCAAUUCAAGCUCAGCUCCAUUAACAGACACACCACAAGCAUGCAGCUUCUUCCUUCUUCUUCUUCAAACCCUAAUCCUAUUCUCUUUUCCAGUUCUCAAAACCCUAUCCACCUCUCCAAAUCCACUCUCCACCUUAUCCCGCAUUGCUCUUCCGCACAUUCCACCACCACCGUUUUUUUCACUAACGAGAGGGCUCCGAAGAGGCAGCACCACGUAUCUUCUCCGGAAAGUGUUCUGGUGGCUCGCCGGCCGGAAUCGGCGGUCUCGGCCGGAGACGAAGAUAGUUUGAACUUGAGGGCAAUGAUUAACGCGGGAACUCCGAAAAUCACAGUUAAAUCUGGGUCAUCCUCCCAAGCUUUGUAUAAGGCUAAGGUUUUGAUCAGGAGUAACAGAUUUGCAGAAGCUGAGGAGAUUCUUCAAAAGUGUAUAUUUUAUUGGCCAGAAGAUGGGAGAGCUUAUGUGGUUUUGGGGAAGACUUUAAUCAAACAAUCAAAGACUAUGGAAGCUCGACUUGUUUAUGAGAAAGGUUCUCAAGCUACUCAUGGAAAGAAUCCCUUUAUCUGGCGGUGCUGGGCUGUUUUGGAGAAAACCUUGGGAAAUAUAAGGAGAGCAAGAGAAUUGUUUGAGGCUGCAACUGUUGUGGACAAGAGACACAUUGCUGCUUGGCAUGGUUGGGCAGAUCUUGAGCUGAAGCAAGGGAAUAUCAGGAAAGCAAGGUGUAUUCUAGCUAGAGCUCUUAAAUUUUGUGGAGGGAAUGAGUAUGUUUACCAAACUCUUGCAUUGCUAGAAGUUAAGGCUAAUCGUAUCGAGCAGGCUCGGUAUUUGUUCGGGCAGGCCACCAAGUGUAAUCCCAGAAGCUGUGGCAGUUGGCUGGCAUGGGCACAAAUGGAGAUGCAGCAGAAAAAUAACCGAGCUGCUAGACAACUCUUUGAGAAAGCUAUUCAGUCAAGUCCCAAGAACAGGUUUGCAUGGCAUGUAUGGGGAGUUUUUGAAGCCAAUGUUGGAAAUGUUGAUAAGGGAAGAAAGCUUUUAAAGAUAGGUCAUGAACUUAAUCCAAGGGAUCCUGUUCUACUUCAGUCUCUUGCUUUAUUAGAAUAUAAACACUCAACUGCCAAUUUUGCUCGAGUUUUGUUCAGGAGAGCAUCUGAAAUAGAUCCAAGUCACCAACCAGUAUGGAUGGCAUGGGGAUGGAUGGAAUGGAAAGAAGGAAACAUUGCCACAGCAAGGGAGUUAUACCAAAAGGCCCUGUCGAUUAACUCGUCUAGCGAUACUGCUGCUCGAUGCCUACAGGCUUGGGGAGUCCUAGAACAAAGAAUUGGUAACCUAUCUGCAGCUCGUAUAUUAUUUAGAUCCUCUCUAAAUAUAAAUUCUCAGAGUUUCAUCACAUGGAUGACAUGGGCAGCAUUUGAAGAGGAAGAUCAAGAAAAUUCAGUUCGAGCCGAGGAAAUUCGCAACCUCUAUUUCCAGCAAGUGAGCAACCACAAUUAAGUAUUCUAAUGUUUAUGCCAAAGACCAAGCAAUCCAUACUUGACAUUUUAAAGAAGAAAUUAAAGUUGUUAGACUAAAGACCAAUGUAGCACACCCUAAGAAUCCUUGAGAAGAAUGGCUGUGAUUACAUGGAUGAUGAACAAAAUGACAGUGGUUUCAAUUGGAUAUGCUUUUUAGACCCUAGCAAGGUGGACUUUCUGUUGGAAACAAAAAAUAAUUUCUAUAGCAAAAAUAUCCAAGAAGAAGAUUAUGAAAGCUUUGAUCCCAUUGAGCCUCAAACCCAGAAAGUUGAAACCUUUGGGAGACAAUUUUGGUAUGGUGAAUACUGUUGUGGUCGGGAUAAGAAGAAAGCAGUGUAUGGAGGUGCAUGAUAGUACAACAACAUAUAAAUUUGUAUAUGCAUGCGCUCUGCUGGGCACUGUCACAUGUUGCUACAAAUUUGGCAUGAGCUCAUCUCAAUACUCUUGUCUUGUCUACUUCUCUUGCUUUGCUUCCUCAUCCUCUCUUGUCUUGUGUUGUGUUAUUUAUUAUUUUUUGUAAUUCUCUUUUGAAAUUUUAAGAUUCAAAUUAUCAUGCAUUCCCUUUUCAUAAUAAUAAGAAUAAUUAGUACCCUGAAUUUUCGACGGUACUUAAUUUUUCCCUUAAAA
Cannabis sativa is the source of this 2227-nucleotide RNA transcript. It is a transcript of the gene named protein high chlorophyll fluorescent 107, with no coding region annotated. The transcript has 8 exons. The record is from RefSeq and is a predicted model, not a curated record. NCBI's taxonomy places the organism in Eukaryota, Viridiplantae, Streptophyta, Magnoliopsida, Rosales, Cannabaceae.